Molecule: ribosomal RNA, 253 nt
Filed under: uncultured bacterium
Lineage: Bacteria
Description: partial 16S ribosomal RNA
Rfam family: Bacterial small subunit ribosomal RNA
Source: RNAcentral
UACAGAGGUCUCAAGCGUUGUUCGGAUUCAUUGGGCGUAAAGGGUGUGUAGGUGGCGCGCUAAGUCGGGUGUGAAAUUUCGGAGCUUAACUCCGAAACUGCAUUUGAUACUGGCGUGCUUGAGGACUGGAGAGGAGACUGGAAUUCAUGGUGUAGCAGUGAAAUGCGCAGAUAUCAGGAGGAACACCGGUGGCGAAGGCGGAUCUCUGGGCCGUAACUGACGCUGAGGAGCGAAAGCAUGGGGAGCGAACAGG